GGCCGGUUUGCUCAGCUGGUUAGAGUGUGGCGCUAAUAACGUCAAGGUCGCGGGUUUGACCCCCGUAUGGGCCA
This is a non-coding RNA of Albula goreensis, 74 nucleotides long. Lineage: Eukaryota; Metazoa; Chordata; Actinopteri; Albuliformes; Albulidae. The record is from the annotation of a GenBank genome assembly.